ACUCUGGGUCACCUCCCACCCGUGUCUAUCGUACCUUGUUGCUUCGGCGGGCCCGCCGUUUCGACGGCCGCCGGGGAGGCCUUGCGCCCCCGGGCCCGCGCCCGCCGAAGACCCCAACAUGAACGCUGUUCUGAAAGUAUGCAGUCUGAGUUGAUUAUCGUAAUCAGUUAAAACUUUCAACAACGGAUCUCUUGGUUCCGGCAUCGAUGAAGAACGCAGCGAAAUGCGAUAAGUAAUGUGAAUUGCAGAAUUCAGUGAAUCAUCGAGUCUUUGAACGCACAUUGCGCCCCCUGGUAUUCCGGGGGGCAUGCCUGUCCGAGCGUCAUUGCUGCCCUCAAGCACGGCUUGUGUGUUGGGCCCCCGUCCCCCUCUCCCGGGGGACGGGCCCGAAAGGCAGCGGCGGCACCGCGUCCGGUCCUCGAGCGUAUGGGGCUUUGUCACCUGCUCUGUAGGCCCGGCCGGCGCCAGCCGACACCCAACUUUAUUUUUCUAAGGUUGACCUCGGAUCAGGUAGGGAUACCCGCUGAACUUAAGCAUAUCAAUAAGCAGAGGAA
RNAcentral lists this ribosomal RNA (554 nucleotides) under Aspergillus fumigatus. RNAcentral describes it as "eukaryotic LSU rRNA". The stretch from base 172 to 325 matches the Rfam family "5.8S ribosomal RNA". The record is from RNAcentral. Lineage: Eukaryota; Fungi; Ascomycota; Eurotiomycetes; Eurotiales; Aspergillaceae.